This 399-nucleotide ribosomal RNA is filed under the name uncultured soil bacterium. RNAcentral describes it as "bacterial SSU rRNA". It matches the Rfam family "Bacterial small subunit ribosomal RNA", at positions 26 to 429 of the family's 1533-position model. The record is from RNAcentral.
AGAUUGAACGCUGGCGGCAUGCUUUACACAUGCAAGUCGAGCGGCAGCGCGGGGGCAACCCUGGCGGCGAGCGGCGAACGGGUGAGGAACACAUCGGAACGUGCCCCGGAGUGGGGGAUAACGCCGCGAAAGCGGCGCUAAUACCGCAUAUGCUCUGAGGAGGAAAGCGGGGGACCUGUGAGGGCCUCGCGCUCUGGGAGCGGCCGAUGUCCGAUUAGCUAGUUGGUGGGGUAAUGGCUCACCAAGGCGACGAUCGGUAGCUGGUCUGAGAGGAUGAUCAGCCACACUGGGACUGAGACACGGCCCAGACUCCUACGGGAGGCAGCAGUGGGGAAUUUGGACAAUGGGGGCAACCCUGAUCCAGCCAUGCCGCGUGCGGGAAGAAGGCCUGGUUGUAAC